RNAcentral lists this long non-coding RNA (2621 nucleotides) under Malus domestica (apple). RNAcentral describes it as "long non-coding RNA (MDOM_LNC005021)". Lineage: Eukaryota; Viridiplantae; Streptophyta; Magnoliopsida; Rosales; Rosaceae. The record is from RNAcentral.
GUUUUUCUGCUUCUCUCUUUCGCCUCUUUUUCUUAAUUUUGUAUUUAGGGGUAGGCCUUUUGUUUGAAUUUGGGUUUAGUUGAUUUUGAAGGUUUCAAGUUGGUUGCCCUUUUUUGUUUUUAAUUUUGUAUUUAGAGUUAGGUUUUUUGUUUGAAUUUGGGUUUACCUGAUUUUGAAGGUUUAGAGUUAACUGUUUCCUUUGGAUUUUUUAUGGGGGUGAGACUUAUAGAAUAGUAGGGUUUUCUUUUUGUGUUGGGAUGCCCAUCUCUCAUUCCUCCGUCUCUGGUCUUUUUUUUUUUGGGGUUUUGCUCUGCUUUUUCAGUACAUGCUUUCCACAUGUUGAUCAUCGGCAGUGUUUCUGUUUAGAGGAUUUUACCCUCGCUGCCCAUGCGUCCAUCAUCGUUGAAGAUGCCUAUUCUCAACUCUUCUGCGUCAUUCUGCUUUCUCUCAUCUAAAUCCAAAAGAUUAGAUCACAGCUUCUCAAACUCUCUCUCUCACACCGCCACCAUCAGGCCGCAGUUGCUCCAAGGAUGGGUCUCCAAAGAGGUCAUUUUGUAAAAUGCUCUCAACUUAAGGCAAGUAAUUUGAAAUUUUGGUCUGUUUUUCAAUUAUUAUGCCCAAUUUUGAAUUUAAGUCUAUGUACUUUAAAAAAAAUGAUUUGGGGUUAUUGAAAUCAGCAAUGGAAAAAUCUGCCAAAAAACACAAGAUUUUGGUAUUCAAAUUAUGUGUUCUCUCAGACUUCACAAUUGUUGGAUCUGGGUUCUCUUCAGACUUCACAAUUUGCUAGAAAACUCAAGGUUCCUCUCUCUCUCUCUCUCUCUCUCUCUCUCUCUCUCUCACUCUCUCUCUCUCUCUCUCUCUCUCUCUCUCACCUUUUUUUCAAUUCAUGAUCGUAUUUGCUUUGCAUGAAUGCUGGAUCUGUUGCUUUCGACAAAUUCUGCACUAUGUUUGCUGCACUUAUUUUUUUGUUGUUUGAUUUGAUGAAUUCUUGGGAAAAUCCAAGCUGAAUCCCGUUUUGAUUCAAAGAAAUUUUACACCCAGCAAAACUUGGUUGCCGUUCUGAUAUGAAGAAAUUUCAAACCCAUGAAAGCUCGGGUUUCUUGAUGAGUUCUCCGACAUAUUUGUUUUGGGUUCUCUUUUUUUUUUUGUUCAAAUUUUUAUAAUUUUAAUUUUUAAAAUCUGGUUUAAAGAAAUUUUUCUGAUUUUAACAUUUAGCUAUUGGAUUGCAUGAAAUCAGUAUUUAAAGAAUUCUUUUGUAUGAGAAUGCAAUGAUGGACUCUUUUUUUUGCCCAGCGAAUCUGUGAUUUAAAGUCUUAAACUUUUGAUUGAAAUUUUUUAGAGCUUUUAUCGUAUUUGUUAUCUAUGCUGAUGUUAACAGAGUGUUUUUUUUUUAAUCAAAAUUUUGUUUUAUUUUCUGUUGGGCAGCUUUUGGUGUGCUACGGAUGUUGGUUUAUUGCUCUUUGCAUACACUUAGCCUUUGAGCUACUAAAUACGUCAAGGUAUACUAACUUUUGUCUUAAGGGUACCCAAAAGCAACCGAUGAAAUCAAAAUUACCCUACAAGACAUGCAAGAUUGUGUUGCAAUGUUAAAUUAUGUGCUUAUAUAUAUUGUAUGAAAGAUUAUACUUGGAAGAUAUAACGUUGCAAAGAUCAAUGUUGUUUCUAUUGAAUCUUAGCUUUCAGAGAACUCAGAGAUGUAAAAAAUAUAUUCUUCUCAUUUACUUUUGUUAUUGAACAAUACAUUGACAUCAGUAUAUAUAGAUACAAUUCUAUUGCCAUAAUUGACCUCAACAUACAGCAGCUAAUUACACAUUUACCCUUUGUCUAACUAACUCUAACUAUACAAUUACUACUAGGCUCUUUGCACCCCCUUAAGCUGAGACUUGGGACUGGAAAAAUGCCAAGAGGAAGCUUGGAUUGCAGAAAGCAGAAUCUGUGUUUUGAUAGAGAUUUGGUGUGGAUAUCAGCUAACUGAUCUUGGCUGCAGAAAUAAAGAACUUUAAUCAAAUGGGCCAAGACUAAUUCCCAAAUGUAAUGAUAAUCCACUUCAACAUGCUUUGUCCGAGCAUGAAACACAGGAUUGGAGGCAAGAGAAAUUGCUGAAAUGUUAUCACACCAAAGAGUUGGAACUAAAGACAGAGGAAAGUUGAUAUCAGAAAACACUUUACAAAUCCAGGUGAUUUCAACUGUAGUAUGUGCUAAAGCUCGAUAUUCAGCUUAUGUGGAGGAUCUUGCGACAGUUGGUUGCUUUUUAGCAUUCCAACUGAUUAGAUUUGGACCUAGAAAGACACAGAAACCAGUAGUAGAUCUCCGAUCAUACGUACAACCUACCCAGUCAACAUCAGAGUAAGCAGUGAGGUCAAGAGAACCCUUUUUAAACCAGAGACCUUGUGUAAGUGUGCCUUUUAAAAAUCGAAGAAUUCAUUUGACAGCUUGCAUGUGUUGUUCCUUUAGGGAAUGCAUGAAUUGACAAACUUGAUUGACAACAAAGGAUAGAUCAGGUCUUGUCCACGUAAGAUACUGUAAUCCACCCACUAUAGAUCUAUACUUAGUGGGGUUAGAGAGAAAAGGACCACUGUGAUCAAGUUUAGUAGUACCAAGAGGAGUUACACAAGGCUUAG